AAACUUUCAACAACGGAUCUCUUGGCUCUGGCAUCGAUGAAGAACGCAGCGAAACGCGAUAAGUAAUGUGAAUUGCAGAAUUUAGUGAAUCAUCGAAUCUUUGAACGCACAUUGCGCCCGCCAGUAUUCUGGCGGGCAUGCCUGUCGGAGCGUCAUUA
This 158-nucleotide ribosomal RNA is filed under the name Fusarium solani. RNAcentral describes it as "5.8S ribosomal RNA". It matches the Rfam family "5.8S ribosomal RNA". Rfam says of the family: 5.8S ribosomal RNA (5.8S rRNA) is a component of the large subunit of the eukaryotic ribosome. Lineage: Eukaryota; Fungi; Ascomycota; Sordariomycetes; Hypocreales; Nectriaceae. The record is from RNAcentral.